Molecule: ribosomal RNA, 513 nt
Filed under: uncultured bacterium
Lineage: Bacteria
Description: bacterial SSU rRNA
Rfam family: Bacterial small subunit ribosomal RNA
Source: RNAcentral
GAACGCUGGCGGCAUGGCUAAAACAUGCAAGUCGAACGUGCCCGCAAGGGCAAGUGGCGAAAGGGUCAGUAACGCGAUCGAAUGUACCUAUGGGUUGAGGAUAGCCGUGGGAAACUGCGGGUAAUACUCGAUGAUGUCUCCGGACCAAAGAUUUAUCGCCCUAAGAGCAGCGAUCGUCCUAUCAGGUAGUUGGCGGGGUAAAGGCCCACCAAGCCUAAGACGGGUAGCAGGUGUGAGAGCACGACCUGCGACAUCGGGACUGAGACACUGCCCGGACUCCUACGGGAGGCUGCAGUAACGAAUCUUCCGCAAUGGGCGCAAGCCUGACGGAGCAAUGCCGCGUGUGGGAUGAAGCGGCUACGCCGUGUAAACCACUGUCAGGGACUAGAACCAAUGAUCAGUCCCAAAGGAAGAGCCGGCUAACCCUGUGCCAGCAGCCGCGGUAAUACAGGGGGCUCGAGCGUUAAUCGGAAUCACUGGGCUUAAAGGGUGCGUAGGUGGCUUGCCAAGCGU